RNAcentral lists this ribosomal RNA (253 nucleotides) under uncultured bacterium. Its description in RNAcentral is "partial 16S ribosomal RNA". It matches the Rfam family "Bacterial small subunit ribosomal RNA", at positions 524 to 776 of the family's 1533-position model. The record is from RNAcentral.
UACGUAGGGUGCAAGCGUUGUCCGGAAUUAUUGGGCGUAAAGAGCUCGUAGGCGGUCUGUUGCGUCGGCUGUGAAAACCCGGGGCUCAACCCCGGGCCUGCAGCCGAUACGGGCAGACUAGAGUUCGGCAGGGGAGACUGGAAUUCCUGGUGUAGCGGUGAAAUGCGCAGAUAUCAGGAGGAACACCGGUGGCGAAGGCGGGUCUCUGGACAGUUCCUGACACUGAGGCACGAAGGCCAGGGGAGCAAACGGG